This 301-nucleotide ribosomal RNA is filed under the name Craterostigmus tasmanianus. RNAcentral's name for it is "eukaryotic LSU rRNA". It matches the Rfam family "Eukaryotic large subunit ribosomal RNA", at positions 664 to 909 of the family's 3401-position model. Lineage: Eukaryota; Metazoa; Arthropoda; Chilopoda; Craterostigmomorpha; Craterostigmidae. The record is from RNAcentral.
GACCAAGGAGUCUAACAUGUGCGCGAGUCGUAGGGUUACGCUCAAAGCCCGAAGGCGCAAUGAAAGUGAAGGUCGGCCUCGAUUGCCGUUACCUAGGCGGGAUCCGUUCGGGCUUACCGGUCGUUCGCGGCUGAGCCCGGCGGCGCACCGCCGGCCCGUCUCGACCGCAUCGCCGGUGAGGCGGAGCGAGAGCGUACACGUUGGGACCCGAAAGAUGGUGAACUAUGCCCGGGCAGGACGAAGCCAGAGGAAACUCUGGUGGAGGUCCGUAGCGAUUCUGACGUGCAAAUCGAUCGUCGGA